ACGGGCGGGGCGAGCGUUGUUCGGAUUCAUUGGGUGUAAAGGGUGCGAAGGCGGUCGUCUAAGUCGAAGGUGAAAUGUCUACGGCUCAACCGAGGCAUUGCCUCCGAUACUGGACGACUUGAGUGCGGAAGGGGAGCGUGGAAUUCCUGGUGUAGCGGUGAAAUGCGUAGAUAUCAGGAGGAACACCGGUGGCGAAGGCGGCCUCUUGGGCCGUUCCUGACGCUGAGGCGCGAAAGCCAGGGGAGCGAACGG
This 252-nucleotide ribosomal RNA is filed under the name uncultured prokaryote. Its description in RNAcentral is "partial 16S ribosomal RNA". It matches the Rfam family "Bacterial small subunit ribosomal RNA", at positions 525 to 775 of the family's 1533-position model. The record is from RNAcentral.